Molecule: ribosomal RNA, 203 nt
Filed under: uncultured bacterium
Lineage: Bacteria
Description: partial 16S ribosomal RNA
Rfam family: Bacterial small subunit ribosomal RNA
Source: RNAcentral
UUGGGAAACUGGUGCUAAUACCGGAUACACUUCUUAACUGCGGGGUAAAGGAGGGAAAGGUAGGCCGUCUUCAUGAAAGCUACCGUAUAGGGAUGAGCCUGCGUACCAUUAGCUAGUAGGCGGGGUAACGGCCCACCUAGGCAACGAUGGUUAGCGGGUCUGAGAGGAUGAUCCGCCACACUGGAACUGGAACACGGACCACG